AAACAUAUUCGAUAGCAGAGAAAAGGUAGAAGAUGAUGAUGAGGGAUGACGAUGAAGAAGAAGAUCAGCUGCAUCAGACGGCAGUCUUGGAACAAGUCUUCGGGCACUUCUCAUCCGACGACGAAGAAGAAGCUGAUAAUCAUCACAUCGCGGCAGUAUUGGAACAAGUCUUCGGAAAUUCAUCCUCCGACGAAGAAGAUUCCGAUUCCGAUAACAAGAAUUGGGAAUGCAUCAAAGAAGUAAAAGGAUUAUGUAUACUAAGAAAUUUCCUAUCAAUCUCUCAACAAACCCGUUUACUCUCAUCAAUCAAUUCAGAGAAUUGGUUCACACAACCAUCAAUUAACCAAGCUAUGCGAUUCGGUUAUCAAAAUCUUCCUAAUUGGGCAAUCAAACUCUCUAAUUCAAUCCACCAUUCCAUUUCAUCAUCUUCUUCUUCGCUUUUCCCAUCGAAUCUGUUACAGAGAAAACCGUUUUUCGAUCAAAUGAUAACGAAUUUCUACCAGCCUGGUGAAGGUAUUUGUCCUCAUGUUGAUUUGUUAAGGUUUGAAGAUGGAAUUGCUAUUGUUUCAUUGGAAUCGAGUUGUGUUAUGGAUUUUAGUUUUGAAGAGGAAAGUGUUCCUGUAUUGCUUAAUCCUGGUUCGUUGGUUUUUAUGUUUGGUGAUGCUAGGUAUGUUUGGAAACAUGAGAUUAAUAGGAAACCUGGGUUUCAAUCAUGGCAGGGACAAUUGUUGGAUCAAAGUACAAGAACCUCUGUUACACUUAGGAAACUAUGUUCUUCUCCAUCCACCUAAAUGGAUAUCAACCUAUGAAGCACAAACGCAGACAUUGAUAUUGGAUCGAACACAAACAGUGUGAUACUAAUAAUAAUUUGAGAAAAUGAUAUGACAUAUGUGAUCGAACACAAACAGUGUGAUACUAAUAAUAAUUUGAGAAAAUGAUAUGACAUAUGUGUUGGUUGUGUCGUGUGUCCGACACGGGACAGGGUUAACUCGAGGAGUGUCUGAGCAUCAUAGAUAUCAACAUUGUCAUUUCGCUUCGUCUUUGGAGGAAAAAUCUCAAACUAGUCUUUUAGGUCAUCCAAAAUAUCAAAUUUCAAUCAAAUUAGUUUUUUUUUUAGAUGGAAAAAUCAGUCUUUGUACUGUAGAAUGUGUAGUUUUGAAGUUUUUAUGCUGUGGAGAUGUAUGAUUCUGAAAUUAUGUGUGAUCUUUAGGAUGAACUAUUUUGACCAAAUGGCUACCUAGGAAAUGGAUUUUCUACAGCUCUAAACCGUGUGAAAUUUAUUGUGUAAUCUAAAUUUAUUGUGUAAUCUAGACAAUCUGAUCUAAAAUCAAUGGCAGAGAUUCAUACUUGAC
Molecule: long non-coding RNA, 1352 nt
Filed under: Trifolium pratense (red clover)
Lineage: Eukaryota; Viridiplantae; Streptophyta; Magnoliopsida; Fabales; Fabaceae
Description: long non-coding RNA (TPRA_LNC001819)
Source: RNAcentral